Molecule: transfer RNA, 77 nt
Filed under: Bacteroidetes bacterium CG23_combo_of_CG06-09_8_20_14_all_32_9
Lineage: Bacteria; Pseudomonadati; Bacteroidota
Description: tRNA-Arg
Rfam family: tRNA
About the family: Transfer RNA (tRNA) molecules are approximately 80 nucleotides in length. Their secondary structure includes four short double-helical elements and three loops (D, anti-codon, and T loops).
Source: RNAcentral
GGUUCCGUAGCUCAGUUGGAUAGAGCAACAGCCUUCUAAGCUGUGGGCCGCGCGUUCGAAUCGCGCCGGAAUCACAA